Molecule: ribosomal RNA, 498 nt
Filed under: uncultured bacterium
Lineage: Bacteria
Description: partial 16S ribosomal RNA
Rfam family: Bacterial small subunit ribosomal RNA
Source: RNAcentral
GACGAACGCUGGCGGCGCGCCUAAUACAUGCAAGUCGAACGAGAGCAACCGGUGCUUGCACUGGUCAAUCUAGUGGCGAACGGGUGAGUAACACGUGGGUAACCUGCCCAUCAGAGGGGGAUAACAUCCGGAAACGGAUGCUAAAACCGCAUAGGUCUUCGAACCGCAUGGUUUGAAGAGGAAAAGAGGCGCAAGCUUCUGCUGAUGGAUGGACCCGCGGUGCAUUAGCUAGUUGGUGAGGUAACGGCUCACCAAGGCCGUGAUGCAUAGCCGACCUGAGAGGGUGAUCGGCCACAUUGGGACUGAGACACGGCCCAAACUCCUACGGGAGGCAGCAGUAGGGAAUCUUCCGCAAUGGACGCAAGUCUGACGGAGCAACGCCGCGUGAGUGAAGAAGGUUUUCGGAUCGUAAAACUCUGUUGUUAGAGAAGAACAAGUGCUAGAGUAACUGUUAGCGCCUUGACGGUAUCUAACCAGAAAGCCACGGCUAACUACGUG